UCCGGUUUGUCACCGGCAGUCUCGCAUGAGUCCCCAACUAAAUGCUGGCAACAUGCGACGGGGGUUGCGCUCGUUGCGGGACUUAACCCAACAUCUCACGGCACGAGCUGACGACAGCCAUGCACCACCUGUAUACCGACUAAAAGGGGCCGUAUCUCUACGGCUUUCCGGCAUAUGUCAAACCCAGGUAAGGUUCUUCGUUUAUCAUCGAAUUAAAGAACACGAUCCACCGCUUGUGCGGGUCCCCGUCAAUUCCUUUAUGUUUUAGUCUUGCGACCGUACUCCACAGGCGGGAUACUUAACGCGUUAGCUCCGCUACUGAAGGGGUCGAUACCUCCAACAGCUAGUAUCCAUCGUUUACGGCGUGGACUAC
Molecule: unclassified non-coding RNA, 373 nt
Filed under: uncultured bacterium
Lineage: Bacteria
Description: contains 16S-23S intergenic spacer region
Source: RNAcentral